Molecule: ribosomal RNA, 253 nt
Filed under: uncultured bacterium
Lineage: Bacteria
Description: partial 16S ribosomal RNA
Rfam family: Bacterial small subunit ribosomal RNA
Source: RNAcentral
UACAGAGGUCUCAAGCGUUGUUCGGAUUCAUUGGGCGUAAAGGGUGCGUAGGUGGCAUGGUAAGUCGGAUGUGAAAUCCCGGGGCUCAACCCCGGAACUGCAUUCGAUACUGCUGCGCUAGAGUACUGGAGAGGAGAUUGGAAUUUACGGUGUAGCAGUGAAAUGCGUAGAUAUCAGGAGGAACACCGGUGGUGUAGACGGCUUUCUGGACCGUAACUGACGCUGAGACACGAAAGCGUGGGUAGCAAACAGG